RNA transcript from Lutra lutra (Eurasian river otter), 1775 nucleotides. RefSeq lists it as uncharacterized. The record is from RefSeq and is a predicted model, not a curated record. The transcript is spliced from 6 exons. NCBI's taxonomy places the organism in Eukaryota, Metazoa, Chordata, Mammalia, Carnivora, Mustelidae.
CUAAGUAUUUCCCUGUGUCUGUGUCUGUGUCUGUGGGUCUCUCCCUCGUCACCCACCCCCAUAUCCAGGUGGAAGUUUUCAACAAAAUCAAAGGCAGGCAGGACAGACGAAGGCCAAGCCCUGGGCUGACGCCUCCAGCACACACAGGGAGGGAGGGAGAGCCCUGGGGAAGUCUGGAAAUCGUUACCCCUGAGGUAGGCAGGCCUGGCAGAGGGAGGAGGGGGCUGGGAGAGUUGGGACCCCGUAGGAAAGGGAACUGCUUCUCAUGGAUUCCCUGAUGGCAGUGGGUGGUCUCCAUCCUCCUCCCCCUCCAGGUCUCCGUCUCCCCCAGGCCGGGUUCUCUGUGUCUCUAAAAUUCCCUACAAUUUGAGCUAUUCCCCCUUCCUCCCUCCUCCCCCUUUCGACCUUUCACUCUCUCUCUGGGACUCCCCUCCCCCAUUUCUCUGAGUUUCUGUGCCCUUCCCUCAAAGUCCCAGUCCCUCUGAGCCUGGGUCUCUUUCUUACACUGUCCAACCAUUCACACACCUGCAGGCCUUCCAUUGGCUGAGCUCAGGGUGGGCGGGUUCUGUUACCUGGGGCAACAGGAACAACAAACCUGCCCCCGCGUGGCUCUCCCGCAGCGGUGGGACCAUGGCUGGUCCGACCCUAGCUCUGCGCUACGGUCCCCCAUGGUCCCCAAUCUCUGGGGCCGAGGUGCCUGGAUCCUGGCCCAAAUGGCGUCUCACCAGCAGUGGUGUCGCCCACCACAUUAUCCCGCCUGUGUCCUUUCUCCCGCCCACUGUGCAGUCCACGGUCGCGGAGCCCCUGCCGCCGGCCGCCAAGCAGGAUUUGCACAUCUGGGAUUUUGAUGAGGUCAUCAGCAGAUGGGAGACAACCUCUGGCUCGGCUUACGUGCCUAAGAAGCACGGCGGGCCCUACGCACAGCCUAGGGCCCCAGAGCCUUCGGACCCCACGAGGACUGUGGGGAUCAAGGAUUUAGACGAAAAGCUCAGACACCGUGGCUGGCGCCUCCCGCUGAUCACGAAGCACCAGUGCAGUGAGAUGCGGGCGCAGUACACGGGCUGGCCCGACCCGGAUCAGCAGCGCCCCACAUUCUACGUCGGGCCCCAGCCCCUGGAGCUUGCGGAGCACCUUCGCGGAGGCCCUUCCCAGGCUUUAAUCCCUUGGACAAAGAACCCCGAGCUGGCCGGCCGGCCUUUCACAGUGUCUGACCAGGGCAUCUUGGACCGCCGUCAGCUCUAUCUGACCACCUCGGCCAAGGACUUCCGGGCCUACCCGAAGAAGGAGUUGUCUGGAUAUCCCCGCAAGGACUCGCUGACCUCCUGGACCUUUAACAAGACGCCUCAGGCCUGGGGCCAUGACCCACAAAGGCCACCCUGUCCGCGCCCCUCUCGGCCGCCAGGGAUCCGCGUGCCCCACGUCCAUCCGGUGACGACUGCAGUGCCACACCGCGGGGCGCUGUCUUUGGCUCAGGAGUCCUACAGACCCCCGCUGCACCCCCUCCUCGGGCUCAACCGUUUCUGCCCGCUGGAGCUGCCCUGGGGCGGCCCCCACUGGAAGCCGAUGUCGGGGAUCUACAGCGUGCCGCAAGCCUACCGCACUGAGAACUCCACCUACGGCAGCAUGAAGCCAGCCCGGGUCUGAGCCCGCAGCGCCAGCCCCGCCCUGGACACGCCCCCCCUCCCCGGGCGCGGAGCUAAGAUCGGGAACCCCGCCCAUUACGUGGUAGUGAGACCAGGACCCGCCCACUCAGUCGUGGGCGGGGCGACUCCCCA